GCGGUGCGCAGGUCAGGGCAGCCAAUGGGCAGGCGUAGGGGGGCCGUGGGGCGGCCAGUUUGAAUGGCGGGAGCGGUCGGAGCGGAUGGCCGCGGACAGGGGAUGAGAGCGAUACUAGGAUUAGUGGGAUUGGGAUCGGGAUAACGAGACUGGGAGGGGGGCGCGGCCCACGGAGUUGUGCUGGGGCCCGGGGGCUCACGGGGCUCGGUUCCCCCCGGGGCUCUUCCUGCUCCUCCACGAUCCCAACGCUUUUCCCUGCCCUUUUCCCUGCAGGAGCCACGAGGCUCAGAUCCGGAAUUACCAAGGGCCAGACCCGCUGGAGCCCUGGGACAGUUCUUAUGGCUUGUGCUACCUUCUCCUGGGCAGGCAGAGUUCAUCUCUCCCCCUGGCCAGUAUUUUGAGUACCUGCACGGGCGGGGAAUCGGAGCAAAGUCCUCGGAUUUCUACGUGGCUUGGGCUCAGCAGCUGCUGAGUGAAGGCAACAUGCAGGGGGCAGGGGCUGUGCUCCAGAAAGGGCUCCACAACCAGGCAGAGCCCCGAGAGAACCUGCAGCAGCUCCACUGCUGGUUGCAGAGUUCUGAUCCUGGGAAUCCUCCUUUGCAAGGGUCCUGAUGCUGCUGGUUCUCAGCCCUGU
This is a long non-coding RNA of Pseudopipra pipra, 634 nucleotides long. RefSeq lists it as uncharacterized. NCBI's taxonomy places the organism in Eukaryota, Metazoa, Chordata, Aves, Passeriformes, Pipridae. The transcript is spliced from 3 exons. The record is from RefSeq and is a predicted model, not a curated record.